RNAcentral lists this ribosomal RNA (400 nucleotides) under uncultured Chloroflexota bacterium. RNAcentral's name for it is "bacterial SSU rRNA". It matches the Rfam family "Bacterial small subunit ribosomal RNA", at positions 973 to 1382 of the family's 1533-position model. The record is from RNAcentral. Lineage: Bacteria; Bacillati; Chloroflexota.
ACCAGGGUUUGACAUGCUUAAAGUAGGAACUCGAAAGAGGGACGGACCUCGUAUCCAGUCAGGAGUUUGCACAGGUGCUGCAUGGCUGUCGUCAGCUCGUGCCGUGAGGUGUUAGGUUAAGUCCUGCAACGAGCGCAACCCUCGUCGCUAGUUGUUUUCUCUAGCGAUACUGCCCGUAUAACGUGGAGGAAGGUGGGGAUGACGUCAAGUCAGCAUGGCCCUUACAUCCUGGGCUACACACACGCUACAAUGGGUGAUACAACAGGUUGCAAUAGAGUAAUCUGGAGCCAAUCCCUAAAAUCAUCCUCAGUACGGAUUGCAGGCUGCAACUGCCUGCAUGAAGUUGGAGUUGCUAGUAAACGCAGGUCAGCACACUGCGUUGAAUACGUUCUCGGGCCUU